UACGGUGAAUACGUUCCCGGACCUUGCACACACCGCCCGUCAAGCCAUGGAAGCCGGGUGUACCUAAAGUCGGUAACCGUAAGGAGCCGCCUAGGGUAAAACUGGUGACUGGGGCUAAGUCGUAACAAGGUACCC
RNAcentral lists this ribosomal RNA (135 nucleotides) under uncultured bacterium. RNAcentral's name for it is "partial 16S ribosomal RNA". It matches the Rfam family "Bacterial small subunit ribosomal RNA", at positions 1358 to 1501 of the family's 1533-position model. The record is from RNAcentral.